GAUCAUGGCUCAGGAUGAACGCUGGCGGCGUGCCUAACACAUGCAAGUCGAACGGAGGCUGCUUUGAUGAAGUUUUCGGCCAAGAAGACAGGAUGUUUAGUGGCGGACGGGUGAGUAACGCGUGAGUAACCUGCCUUGGAGUGGGGAAUAACACAGUGAAAACUGUGCUAAUACCGCAUAAUGCAUUUGGGUCGCAUGAUUCUGAAUGCCAAAGAUUUAUCGCU
This 224-nucleotide ribosomal RNA is filed under the name uncultured bacterium. Its description in RNAcentral is "partial 16S ribosomal RNA". It matches the Rfam family "Bacterial small subunit ribosomal RNA", at positions 15 to 219 of the family's 1533-position model. The record is from RNAcentral.